Molecule: long non-coding RNA, 516 nt
Organism: Stomoxys calcitrans (stable fly)
Lineage: Eukaryota; Metazoa; Arthropoda; Insecta; Diptera; Muscidae
Exons: 3
Source: RefSeq, a predicted model, not a curated record
UUUUUUGUAUAGAUUUGUUUCAGAAAAUUUCACUAAAAUUCCUACCGUAUGGCAAACACGAGUCAGGUGUGUACGUCCGUAUCAUUGUUGCUGUGAUGACAAGCCCACACAUGAAAGAAUUUGAAAAACAAAUAAAAAUAGAAGAUGACAAUCGACAAAAAUGGUUUCGAAGUUAAACGAGCUUUAGGACCGUUCUUAAAGAACGCAAUAGAUUUAUGUGCAGAUAUGUGACAAACGAAAAAAAUGUUGGUAAUUAUGAUGGAUGAUGGCAAGCCAAAUGAAUGAUGGGAAGCUUUAUGAUUGUGGGUAGAUAAAUGAGGUGUCGAAUAACCUUUCACAUUCACAAUGAAAUUUAUUAGUAACAAGAAAGGUGAAUUGAUGACUGUAUGCAAAUAUUACCCAAAUUGUUGGUCAUUUGUCAAUAUGAUACAAUAUAGUCUAUAGAAAAAAUCUCUUUCCCAACUAAAUGGACGGAGGAUUUUGCACCUUGUGUUGAAUGAUUUGAUGAUGGAUUUU